UAUCUACAUUUACAUUCAUUUUAAGUAAAUAUUCAGAGCAGACAGCAAUAGAAUCACAAUAACUUCAAAAUCAUCCACUUCACCGCCUUCCCCAUCUCCUUCUGACUCUCAGAAUACUGCACCUACCAUACAAGCUGCCCUCCGCAGGAGACAAACCAUCCAUAUUUUCUACAUCUGGUACGUCCGCAUGCACCCGAAGCCUUCAGAUUCCACAGCUUUCAAACCAAGAAGAUCUGCAUGCUGGAUACGCUGGAAUAUCGACUAUUGUAUGUUUCGCCAGCAGAAUUCAGAUUGCGCUUGUUCAACCUAAAUUUCAGGUCAAAACCUUACUCGAAGAGGAAUUACUCACUGUACCUCGUCUGUCGCAUUAGCUGU
Molecule: long non-coding RNA, 375 nt
Filed under: Ananas comosus (pineapple)
Lineage: Eukaryota; Viridiplantae; Streptophyta; Magnoliopsida; Poales; Bromeliaceae
Description: long non-coding RNA (ACOM_LNC020766)
Source: RNAcentral